Molecule: transfer RNA, 62 nt
Filed under: Ictidomys tridecemlineatus (thirteen-lined ground squirrel)
Lineage: Eukaryota; Metazoa; Chordata; Mammalia; Rodentia; Sciuridae
Description: Spermophilus tridecemlineatus (thirteen-lined ground squirrel) tRNA
Rfam family: tRNA
About the family: Transfer RNA (tRNA) molecules are approximately 80 nucleotides in length. Their secondary structure includes four short double-helical elements and three loops (D, anti-codon, and T loops).
Source: Rfam by way of RNAcentral
GGGGUUGUGGCUCAGUAGUAGAGCGCUUGCCUAGCAUGCAGGAGGCACUGGGUUCAACCCCA